CCUCACCUUGCUCAAGUGCCCGUUUGCGCCUUGCACCAAAGCUCUAGGACCCCUUAGCGCGCCUUAAGUUUUUAAUAACUAUAAUAUAUACAAUAAGCCCAAAUCCAUAGUAGUGAUAUUAAGGUUUGCAUUUAUCAACCAAAAAGAGAAUGCAAGUGCGAAGGAUCGAGUAAAUUUAAAGCAUCACUUGAGAAUCCAAGCUACAAGCUACAAGUUGCGAGCUUUCUUCAAGAGCAUUGCAAAUGUAAUGAGGUUUCAAUUUUAGGGACUUUGGUUUGGCAAAUCAACCAAGGCAAUGUAAUUAAACUUGGACCAGACAUUGAUCCCGAGGAGGGACUAGGUGGAUGGGUCACUAGUUCAAUCGGCGUGUUGAGUCAGAUAAUAUUAAUUAGAUGUUUAUUAAUUAAAUAUUACUAAUUUA
RNAcentral lists this unclassified non-coding RNA (421 nucleotides) under Hevea brasiliensis (rubber tree). The record is from RNAcentral. Lineage: Eukaryota; Viridiplantae; Streptophyta; Magnoliopsida; Malpighiales; Euphorbiaceae.